GAAAGCAGGAGCAAUGUAGAAACCGUCCAAUUUGUUGUCCAAUUGGUACGUUUUAAGAGCCUGGCUGACGUAUUCGUAGGAAUUCAUGAUGGCGUGGUGAGUACCAGUACCAGUAGGAGCCUGGAAAAGACUGUCAACCAGACCCUUACCCCUUGCAAUGUCCUGUUGGUCAUCCGAUGUGUUAUCAUAAAGACCCUUCCAUCUGUCCUCUUUCGUUUCGUCUACUUCUUGAGCUACAAUCCUCAAGUUCCUGUUUGAAACCUUGGGGCCGGAAACACCUUUUGCAUACACUUUUUUCAAGGAUUUUCCAAAGAAGGCGGUGCUUGGAACGGAAGUUCCAGCAACUGAGUUGUUCAAACUCAAUGGUGCUUUGCUGGCAGCUCCAAUGGUUGACACUGAGGCAGCCAUUCUUGAUGACUAAAAAGAAAUUGAUGAAAAAAGCUUCCUUGAUUUGCCUUAAAAAUUUGAAAAAAAUUGUUGAUGAAAAAAAAGUAUGGGAAGAGAUAGGCUUUAUAGUAGUAGUUAGUUGUAAGGAGUGUGUGGGAAAUAAGUGUAACAAAAUUAUGUGGAUUUGGCUUGCCU
Molecule: unclassified non-coding RNA, 582 nt
Filed under: Hevea brasiliensis (rubber tree)
Lineage: Eukaryota; Viridiplantae; Streptophyta; Magnoliopsida; Malpighiales; Euphorbiaceae
Source: RNAcentral